Molecule: ribosomal RNA, 487 nt
Filed under: uncultured Rhodococcus sp.
Lineage: Bacteria; Bacillati; Actinomycetota; Actinomycetes; Mycobacteriales; Nocardiaceae
Description: bacterial SSU rRNA
Rfam family: Bacterial small subunit ribosomal RNA
Source: RNAcentral
GCUCAGAACUUAAAGGAAUGACGGGGCCGCACAAGCGGCGGAGCAUGUGGAUUAAUUCGAUGCAACGCGAAGAACCUUACCUGGGUUUGACAUACACCGGAAAACCGUAGAGAUACGGUCCCCCUUGUGGUCGGUGUACAGGUGGUGCAUGGCUGUCGUCAGCUCGUGUCGUGAGAUGUUGGGUUAAGUCCCGCAACGAGCGCAACCCUUGUCUUAUGUUGCCAGCACGUGAUGGUGGGGACUCGUAAGAGACUGCCGGGGUCAACUCGGAGGAAGGUGGGGACGACGUCAAGUCAUCAUGCCCCUUAUGUCCAGGGCUUCACACAUGCUACAAUGGCCAGUACAGAGGGCUGCGAGACCGUGAGGUGGAGCGAAUCCCUUAAAGCUGGUCUCAGUUCGGAUCGGGGUCUGCAACUCGACCCCGUGAAGUCGGAGUCGCUAGUAAUCGCAGAUCAGCAACGCUGCGGUGAAUACGUUCCCGGGCCUU